RNAcentral lists this ribosomal RNA (451 nucleotides) under uncultured bacterium. RNAcentral's name for it is "bacterial SSU rRNA". It matches the Rfam family "Bacterial small subunit ribosomal RNA", at positions 917 to 1382 of the family's 1533-position model. The record is from RNAcentral.
GGACCCACACAAGCGGUGGAGCACCUGGUUUAAUUCGAUAGUGAGCGAGGAACCUUACCUAGGCUUGACAUCCCGAGAAUCUGCUGGAAACAGUGGAGUGCCUUUUGGAACUCGGAGACAAGCGCUGCAUGGUUGUCGUCAGCUCGUGCCUUGAGGUGUUCGGUUAAGUCCGUAAACGAGCGCAACCCUUGUGCUAUGUUGUAUUUUUCAUAGCAGACUGCCGAUUCUAAAUCGGAGGAAGGUAAGGAUGACGUCAAAUCAGCACGGCCCUUAUGCCUAGGGCUACACAGGUGCUACAAUGGUCGGUACAGUGGGCAGCAAUGGAGCGAUCCGGAGCCAAUCCCUAAAACCGAUCUCAGUUCGGAUUGAAGGCUGCAACUCGCCUUCAUGAAGUUGGAAUCGCUAGUAACCGCGUAUCAGCAAUGUCGCGGUGAAUAUGUUCCUGGGUCUU